ACCCGGAGGUUCGUGGCCUGUCAGUCCCUCUAGGGCCUUUGAGCGUCAGGAGGAGCACUUGAGAUCUGCAGGGUUUAGGGAAGACUCGGUCGCAUCUGCCCCAACCAGCCAGAACCGUGGAGUCACCCUCUCCUCCUCCAUCUCCUGGUACUGCCCGCGCUCCCCUCUCUACGGGUUUGGGCACAUCCCAGGCCCAGGGUGUGGUCACCGCACCAGGUCCGCUGAGGGGGACUUUGUGCAGGCAAGACACUGACAAACAGCGAACCCACGUCCUGCUUCAGAAGCGAAGAAAGGCCAACAAGAGGCUUCAGCUGGUGCCGCCCGAGGGAAGUGGCUUGUCGGGGCGGCCCACACUCCACACACCCACUGCUUCCUCCGAUCACGGGUCCUGAGGCUGGACAGUGGACCUCUGCGCACACCCUGCAGGACAGCACCACAGAGGCAGUGUUUCUGCCGUCACGGACGCAUCAAGAAAGCUUGGGAAAUCGUGUUUUCUGCUUCCUGAAGUAUCGCAUAUUCAUUGGAGGAAAAAUGCAAAAUACAGGAGAACAAAAUUAAGUAUUCCAGCACACAGAUAAAAGCACCGUUAAUGUUUCCACAUGUGUCCUUCAAGUGUGUUUUCCAAGCCUGUGUAUAUUUUACAAAAACAAGACUAUGCUGACUGUUCUCGUAUUAUAUACAUGUGUAUUUUUUACUUUGUAAGAACUCUUUAUGUCACUAAAUAUUCUUCAACAUCAUUUAUUAAACUUCCAUUAAAAAUUU
Molecule: long non-coding RNA, 762 nt
Organism: Panthera uncia (snow leopard)
Lineage: Eukaryota; Metazoa; Chordata; Mammalia; Carnivora; Felidae
Exons: 2
Source: RefSeq, a predicted model, not a curated record